UGCUGCUUUGCUGAUUGAGGACUGAAUCUUUCUGCUGCAUGAAAGAUUGUUGCAUGUAUUAUUCUCUGUGGCUUCCUGUAGUCUGAGAGAAAGGAAAGAGUUCAGAGGCAGCAAAAAUUGUGCUUCCUAACCACCCUUCUCUUUACCCUCAAGCAUUUGAUGUGCAAUAGAUCCUUAAUAAAUGAUGGAUGGUCAAUGGCUUCUCACAAUGGGACUGGAAUCCAGAAUCUGGUCUGUUUUAAGCUCCUCUCAUCACUAUCUGAAGAGAGAAGGUGGGAAUUUGCUUUCUUCUUACUUUGUGAUGUGAUCUGCUGUGACAGCUGGCAAUACCCAAAUCCUCAGGCAAUUGAAGACUUCAUUAUUCUUCCUCAUCAAUCACUCAGGGCCAGCUUUCACAUACAAGAAGUACUGGGCCUUCAUUAGACACAUACAAAGUAGAACAGAAAAAAAGAACAUUUUACAUAAAGCCAUGAAUUUUAUAAAUUUAGUUUCUUUUCCUUCUUGGUAUUGUGAAGAAGAGAUUACAACAUCAGUGAGGUUGGCAAGCAGAUGCAAGAAAUGGAAGCUUGAAGGACUGUCAAUCAAGGAGAGAAGGAAGGAAGAUUCCAAAGAAGAAUCUGGUCAGGGAGACAGUUAAGAAAGUCAGCAUCAGAAACUGGUCACUUUUCUCUUGAACUGUGGAGAAGGAACUAACAGGCUACUGCUCUGGAUUCCUGGCUAGUGGCUUAACAUUGAAAAAAUUGGAGCAUAGCUCUGAAGAUCCUUGUCAAUUUAUCAACAAUAUCCCUUCAGAGACAAAUCAGUGUUACUUCCUUGUAUUGAAUUUCAUAGUAGAUUAGGGAAACCAGAAAUACCCUCUUUCCUGUCCCAACUCUCUAACUUUCUUUCUUUAAAAUAAAUCCCUCUUAGAAAGUACUAUAGUGUGAAAU
RNAcentral lists this long non-coding RNA (929 nucleotides) under Monodelphis domestica (gray short-tailed opossum). Its description in RNAcentral is "lncRNA (ENSMODG00000043920.1)". Lineage: Eukaryota; Metazoa; Chordata; Mammalia; Didelphimorphia; Didelphidae. The record is from RNAcentral.